RNAcentral lists this unclassified non-coding RNA (324 nucleotides) under soil metagenome. RNAcentral's name for it is "partial contains 5.8S ribosomal RNA, internal transcribed spacer 2, and large subunit ribosomal RNA". The stretch from base 1 to 120 matches the Rfam family "5.8S ribosomal RNA", at positions 35 to 154 of the family's 154-position model. The record is from RNAcentral.
GAUGAAGAACGUAGCGAAAUGCGAUAAGUAGUGUGAAUUGCAGAAUUCAGUGAAUCAUCGAAUCUUUGAACGCACAUUGCGCCCCUUGGUAUUUCAUGGGGCAUGCCUGUUCGAGCGUCAUUUGUACCUUCAAGCUUUGCUUGGUGUUGGGUGUUUGUCCCUCGGGACUCGCCUUAAAGUCAUUGGCAGCCAGUGUUUUGGUUUUGAAGCGCAGCACAAGUCGCGAUUCAAGGCUAUCCGCCCGCUUCCACAAGCCUUUUUCACUUUUGACCUCGGAUCAGGUAGGGAUACCCGCUGAACUUAAGCAUAUCAAUAAGCGGAGGA